CAGACCUUGUGCUAGCACAGCCUGGCCAUCAGCCCUAGGAGGUACUCCUAAAGCUAAGCCUCGCUUUGGCUGCUUAUGAACUCAGGAGUCACACCUCUGGGGAAAGUAUCAUAGUAUUUUCAGAGGUGGCUCAAAGGAAAAAGCAGUUCCUUGAAACGUUCUGGAGUAGAUCUGGGGCAGGUCAGGAGAUCAUAAGGAAGAGAAAUUACAAUAGCUAAGGGAGGCAGAUGUCAACCAACUUGGAGUGCUGUUACCCCAGUGAAAGGCUGCUGCUGUGUUAAGCGUUUCGGGGCUGCAGGAUUACAAGGGGUGAAAGAAGCCUUCAUGGACCUGCCUCAUCCUCCAGGAUACUAUAAGCCAUACCUUUCCAUAAAACACAUCUGGGUUGAGCUCCAGUGAGAAGAUCAGCUUUAACUGCAGUGAGCAGAAGAGGCUUUGACCACAUCUUUAGCUAGUGCUGGCUGCGCCACGCUGCUUGUCUUUCUCAAAAAGACACCAUUUCUAAGCCCAGAGCUAUGUGGCUAGUGGAGAAGAGCGGAAGGUCACCACGGAAGGCCCUGCCUCUCCUCAAGACCGCUUCUACUGUCAGAAGUA
Long non-coding RNA from Cygnus olor (mute swan), 594 nucleotides. RefSeq lists it as uncharacterized. The record is from RefSeq and is a predicted model, not a curated record. The transcript has 3 exons. Lineage: Eukaryota; Metazoa; Chordata; Aves; Anseriformes; Anatidae.